CUACGGGAGGCAGCGGUGGGGAAUAUUGCACACUGGACGCAAGUCUGAUGCAGUAACGCCGCGUGGGGGAAGAAGACCUUCGGGUUGUAAACCUCUUUUUGUAAAGACGAGUGAAGACGGUAUUUAUAGAAUAAGUCUCGGCUAACUACGUGCCAGCAGCCGCGGUAAGACGUAGGAGGCGAGCGUUAUCCGGAUUCACUGGGCGUAAAGCGCAUGUAGGCGGUUCGUUAAGUCCGCGGUUAAAGCCCCCGGCUCAACUGGGGGAGGUUCGUGGAGACUAAGGGACUUGGGGGCAACAGAGGCACGUGGAACUCCCGGUGUAGCGGUGGAAUGCGUAGAGAUCGGGAAGAACACCAGUGGCGAAGGCGACGUGCUGGGUUGCAACUGACGCUGAGAUGCGAAAGUGUGGGGAGCAAACGGGAUUAGAAACCCCUGUAGUCC
Molecule: ribosomal RNA, 441 nt
Filed under: uncultured bacterium
Lineage: Bacteria
Description: bacterial SSU rRNA
Rfam family: Bacterial small subunit ribosomal RNA
Source: RNAcentral